GGUUUUCUCAGGUGAUGCACCCGGAAUCGGGCUCCCUCUUCUCUGGUUCCGGGUGCAUCAACCGAGAACCGCA
Myotis brandtii (Brandt's bat) is the source of this 73-nucleotide non-coding RNA. Lineage: Eukaryota; Metazoa; Chordata; Mammalia; Chiroptera; Vespertilionidae. The record is from Rfam.